UAUAAAGUCCAACUCUACCAUUCCAUCUUUGUCAGAUUGUACUGUCUUCAGUAUGGUUGACUACUCGCCCUGGUUGCUCCUGGUUCACCAGUUAGGAAGACUUACCUGUUCACGGCUCUUUUGGAUCAGCUACUGGGAUCUCCAAGACCACCUACACUCACCUGCUCUCCAGCAGAGUUGUUGGAAACCAUGUGUCUUUUUAUUUCUUUGUUUGUUUUCAAUGCAAAUUUGGUAUUAACUCUAGAAAUUACUCAGCCUUUAUUCAAAUUCAGUCCCAGUGGUCAAGUAUCUUCUACUUUGGGGUUGACUGCAUACAGGCAGUUUACACUUUGGGCCAGGGGGCAUUUUGUGAAGAAGCACCAGAUCCAGAGCCAGAUCCUUAUUCCAGCCUGGGGUGUCACAGCUCAGUCACAGCUGUUUUUACCUUUCUGGAAUAUCAUGAUUU
This is a long non-coding RNA of Scatophagus argus, 445 nucleotides long. RefSeq lists it as uncharacterized. The record is from RefSeq and is a predicted model, not a curated record. Lineage: Eukaryota; Metazoa; Chordata; Actinopteri; Scatophagidae. The transcript is spliced from 3 exons.